GACGAACGCUGGCGGCGUGCCUAAUACAUGCAAGUCGAGCGAAUCUUUAAGGGGCUUGCCCCUUGAGAUUAGCGGCGGACGGGUGAGUAACACGUGGGCAACCUGCCUGUAAGACCGGGAUAACUUCGGGAAACCGGAGCUAAUACCGGAUCAUCCUUUCCUUCGCAUGAAGGAAAGCUGAAAGACGGCGUAAGCUGUCACUUACAGAUGGGCCCGCGGCGCAUUAGCUAGUUGGUGAGGUAACGGCUCACCAAGGCGACGAUGCGUAGCCGACCUGAGAGGGUGAUCGGCCACACUGGGACUGAGACACGGCCCAGACUCCUACGGGAGGCAGCAGUAGGGAAUCUUCCACAAUGGACGAAAGUCUGAUGGAGCAACGCCGCGUGAGCGAUGAAGGCCUUCGGGUCGUAAAGCUCUGUUGUUAGGGAAGAACAAGUACCGGAGUAACUGCCGG
RNAcentral lists this ribosomal RNA (454 nucleotides) under Bacillus sp. R-10940. RNAcentral's name for it is "bacterial SSU rRNA". It matches the Rfam family "Bacterial small subunit ribosomal RNA", at positions 28 to 475 of the family's 1533-position model. The record is from RNAcentral. Lineage: Bacteria; Bacillati; Bacillota; Bacilli; Caryophanales; Bacillaceae.